This 484-nucleotide ribosomal RNA is filed under the name uncultured bacterium. RNAcentral's name for it is "partial 16S ribosomal RNA". It matches the Rfam family "Bacterial small subunit ribosomal RNA", at positions 30 to 507 of the family's 1533-position model. The record is from RNAcentral.
AUUGAACGCUGGCGGCAGGCCUAACACAUGCAAGUCGAGCGGAUGAAGGGAGCUUGCUCCUGGAUUCAGCGGCGGACGGGUGAGUAAUGCCUAGGAAUCUGCCUGGUAGUGGGGGAUAACGUCCGGAAACGGGCGCUAAUACCGCAUACGUCCUGAGGGAGAAAGUGGGGGAUCUUCGGACCUCACGCUAUCAGAUGAGCCUAGGUCGGAUUAGCUAGUUGGUGGGGUAAAGGCCUACCAAGGCGACGAUCCGUAACUGGUCUGAGAGGCUGAUCAGUCACCCUGGAACUGAGACACGGUCCAGACUCCUACGGGAGGCACCAGUGGGGAAUAUUGGACAAUGGGCGAAAGCCUGAUCCAGCCAUGCCGCGUGUGUGAAGAAGGUCUUCGGAUUGUAAAGCCCUUUAAGUUGUGAGGAAGGGCAGUAAGUUAAUACCUUGCUGUUUUGACGUUACCAACAGAAUAAGCACCGGCUAACUUCGUG